Molecule: ribosomal RNA, 720 nt
Filed under: uncultured Burkholderia sp.
Lineage: Bacteria; Pseudomonadati; Pseudomonadota; Betaproteobacteria; Burkholderiales; Burkholderiaceae
Description: bacterial SSU rRNA
Rfam family: Bacterial small subunit ribosomal RNA
Source: RNAcentral
GAUACCCUGGUAGUCCACGCCCUAAACGAUGUCAACUAGUUGUUGGGGAUUCAUUUCCUUAGUAACGUAGCUAACGCGUGAAGUUGACCGCCUGGGGAGUACGGUCGCAAGAUUAAAACUCAAAGGAAUUGACGGGGACCCGCACAAGCGGUGGAUGAUGUGGAUUAAUUCGAUGCAACGCGAAAAACCUUACCUACCCUUGACAUGGUCGGAAUCCUGCUGAGAGGCGGGAGUGCUCGAAAGAGAACCGGCGCACAGGUGCUGCAUGGCUGUCGUCAGCUCGUGUCGUGAGAUGUUGGGUUAAGUCCCGCAACGAGCGCAACCCUUGUCCUUAGUUGCUACGCAAGAGCACUCUAAGGAGACUGCCGGUGACAAACCGGAGGAAGGUGGGGAUGACGUCAAGUCCUCAUGGCCCUUAUGGGUAGGGCUUCACACGUCAUACAAUGGUCGGAACAGAGGGUUGCCAACCCGCGAGGGGGAGCUAAUCCCAGAAAACCGAUCGUAGUCCGGAUUGCACUCUGCAACUCGAGUGCAUGAAGCUGGAAUCGCUAGUAAUCGCGGAUCAGCAUGCCCCGGUGAAUACGUUCCCGGGUCUUGUACACACCGCCCGUCACACCAUGGGAGUGGGUUUUACCAGAAGUGGCUAGUCUAACCGCAAGGAGGACGGUCACCACGGUAGGAUUCAUGACUGGGGUGAAGUCGUAACAAGGUAGCAAGGGC